RNAcentral lists this transfer RNA (64 nucleotides) under Dimorphostylis asiatica. Its description in RNAcentral is "tRNA-Leu". The record is from RNAcentral. Lineage: Eukaryota; Metazoa; Arthropoda; Malacostraca; Cumacea; Diastylidae.
UCUAGGAUGGCAGAACAAUGCCAAAGAUUUAAGAGCUUUUUACGGAAUAUUUUUCCUCCUAGAA